AUGGAAACUUCCCAACACCUUUUCUUUACCUGCCCUGUUGCUCGGGUGAUCUGGAGGAUGGUUGGAUGUGUAUUGGGCACGUCUCUCUGUCCGAACAACAUUUGGCAGUACUUCUCCCGGUGUUAUAUUUUCCUUCCUGAUGGAGUUAAAUUUUACACCUCUGGUUUGGCAGCAGUCUGUUGGGCGAUUUGGAACUGUCGUAACCAGGCUACUUUUGAACACAAAAUUCUUAAAAGUCCUUUUAAUGUGGUGUAUGCUGCUUGUGGUUUUUUGACAUACUGGGCAGGUUUGAUGGCUGGUGAUGAUCGGGAGUUCAUGGAACGCGGAGCCAAGAUGCUCAGGUCCAGUGCUUCGAUGAUGAUGAGAAUCUGCGCGGCUCCUACCAAGUCAGCGAUGAACUGA
RNAcentral lists this ribosomal RNA (402 nucleotides) under Triticum aestivum (bread wheat). RNAcentral's name for it is "partial small subunit ribosomal RNA". Lineage: Eukaryota; Viridiplantae; Streptophyta; Magnoliopsida; Poales; Poaceae. The record is from RNAcentral.